Molecule: ribosomal RNA, 1881 nt
Filed under: human gut metagenome
Description: bacterial LSU rRNA
Rfam family: Bacterial large subunit ribosomal RNA
Source: RNAcentral
UCAAGCUAUAAAGAGCACAAGGGGAAUGCCUUGGCACUAGGAGCCGAAGAAGGACGUGACUAACUGCGAUAAGCUACGGGGAGUUGUAAGUAAACAUUGAUCCGUAGAUUUCCGAAUGGAGCAAUCCGGCUGUGGUCAUGCACAGUCAUCAUAUACUGAAUACAUAGGUAUAUGAGGGGAACCGCCUGAACUGAAACAUCUAAGUAGGGCGAGGAAGAGAAAUCAACCGAGAUUCCGCUAGUAGUGGCGAGCGAACGCGGAAGAGGCCAAACCAGAGGUAGAAAUACCUUUGGGGUUCGGACAACAUACGAUAUUGAUAAUUUCUAGCUGAAUAGUGUGGGAAAGCUAACCGAAGAAGGUGAGAGUCCUGUAAGCGAAAGGAAGAGUCAGUCAGUUGUAUCCAGAGUACCGCCGGACACGUGAAACCCGGUGGGAAUACGGGGGGACCAUCCUCCAAGCCUAAAUACUACCUAGUGACCGAUAGAGAAGAAGUACUGUGAAGGAAAGGUGAAAAGCACCCCGGGAGGGGAGUGAAAGAGAACCUGAAACCUUGUGUUUACAAGCACCGAAAGUCCAUCAAAGGACGAUCGGGUACCUUUUGUAGAAUGGUCCGGCGAGUGUAUGUAUCUAGCAAGGUUAAGCACUUAAGGUGUGAAGCCAAAGCGAAAGCAAGUCUGAAAAGGGCGACAAGUUAGAUGUAUACGACCCGAAACCGGGUGACCUACCCAUGGCCAGGCUGAAGUGAAGGUAAAACUUCAUGGAGGGCCGAACCGACUCCCGUUGAAAUGGUAGCGGAUGAGUUGUGGGUAGCGGAGAAAUUCCAAUCGAACCCGGAGAUAGCUGGUUCUCUCCGAAAUAGCUUUAGGGCUAGCCUUGAAAUAGAUUACUGGAGGUAAAGCACUGAAUUGGCUAGGGGCCGAAAGGUUACUGAACCUUAUCAAACUCAGAAUGCCAGAUAAUCGUUUUUCAGGAGUCAGACGGUGGGAGAUAAGUUUCAUCGUCAAAAGGGAAACAGCCCAGACCCACAGCUAAGGUCCCAAAUUAUAGUUAAGUGGAGAAGGAUGUGGGAUUGCAUAGACAACCAGGAUGUUGGCUUAGAAGCAGCCACUCAUUAAAAGAGUGCGUAAUAGCUCACUGGUCGAGUGAUCCCGCGCCGAAAAUUUAACGGGGCUAAACUAUAAACCGAAGCUUGGGAUACCGUAAGGUAUGGUAGGAGAGCGUCAUGUAAGGGGUGAAGUCAUAGCGAAAGCGGUGGUGGACUUUACAUGAGUGAGAAUGCCGGAAUGAGUAGCGAGAAUUAAGUGAGAAUCUUAAUGGCCGAAAGUCUAAGGUUUUUGGAGGAAGGUUCGUCCGCUCCAAGUAAGUCGGGAGCUAAGGCGAGGCCGAAAGGCGUAGUCGAUGCACAUACGGUUGAUAUUCCGUAACCACUGACAACUUAAACAAAAUGACACUUUAGAAGGGCUUGACCCGGGUGCUGGUAAUCCCGGGCGUAAGGGACCGAAAAUUAGUAGGGAAGCAAGCUUGGAUGGAGGCGAGAAAAGUUUUGUGUAUGUAAUGUUGGUGCCCGUACCGCAAACCGACACAGGUGGACAGGAAGAGAAUUCUAAGGCCAGCGGGAGAAGGGUAGUUAAGGAACUCGGCAAAUUGACCCCGUAACUUCGGGAAAAGGAGUGCUCUCGAGAGAGAGCCGCAGUGAAUAGGCCCAGGCGACUGUUUAGCAAAAACACAGGUCUCUGCCAAAUCGAAAGAUGAAGUAUAGGGGCUGACACCUGCCCGGUGCUGGAAGGUUAAGAGGAGGAGUGAGAGCUCCGAAUUGAAGCCCCAGUAAACGGCGGCCGUAACUAUAACGGUCCUAAGGUAGCGAAAUUCCUUGUCGGGUAA